Molecule: ribosomal RNA, 160 nt
Filed under: foliar endophyte of Picea glauca sp. P3
Lineage: Eukaryota; Fungi; Ascomycota
Description: 5.8S ribosomal RNA
Rfam family: 5.8S ribosomal RNA
About the family: 5.8S ribosomal RNA (5.8S rRNA) is a component of the large subunit of the eukaryotic ribosome. It is transcribed by RNA polymerase I as part of the 45S precursor that also contains 18S and 28S rRNA. Functionally, it is thought that 5.8S rRNA may be involved in ribosome translocation.
Source: RNAcentral
UUACAACUUUCAACAAUGGAUCUCUUGGCUCUGGCAUCGAUGAAGAACGCAGCGAAAUGCGAUAAGUAGUGUGAAUUGCAGAAUUCAGUGAAUCAUCGAAUCUUUGAACGCACAUUGCGCCCCUUGGUAUUCCAUGGGGCAUGCCUGUUCGAGCGUCAUC